RNAcentral lists this unclassified non-coding RNA (246 nucleotides) under uncultured Amanita. Its description in RNAcentral is "sequence contains ITS1". The record is from RNAcentral. Lineage: Eukaryota; Fungi; Basidiomycota; Agaricomycetes; Agaricales; Amanitaceae.
UUGAGUGAUAAUGGCUUGAGGCUGUUGCUGGCCCUUAUUGAAAGGGACAUGUGCACGUCUUUUGCUAUUGAUAUUCUUUCCACCUGUGCACAAAUUGUAGAUAAUCUGGGAUUGAGAGACUUUCACCGGACUCUUGUUCAAUCUAGCUUGUCUAUGCCAUUUUUAAUAUAUUAUUAUACACCUUUGCAUGUCUUAAAGAAUGUAACUUGUACUGGCUUUUAUUUUAAAAGCCUUUAAACAAAUAUA